GAUCCUGCUCAGGACGAACGCUGGCGGCGUGCUUAACACAUGCAAGUCGAACGAGAAUCUGCGGAAAGAGGAUUCGUCCAAUUGAAGCAGAGGACAGUGGCGGACGGGUGAGUAACGCGUGAGGAACCUGCCUUUCAGAGGGGGACAACAGUUGGAAACGACUGCUAAUACCGCAUGACACAUCGGAGUCGCAUGGCUCUGAUGUCAAAGAUUUAUCGCUGAAAGA
This 226-nucleotide ribosomal RNA is filed under the name uncultured bacterium. RNAcentral's name for it is "partial 16S ribosomal RNA". It matches the Rfam family "Bacterial small subunit ribosomal RNA", at positions 15 to 225 of the family's 1533-position model. The record is from RNAcentral.